AUCCCACUCUUUUUCGGGUUUGGCUGAUUCCAUACCAUCAAUAAUCUUAGUGGGUGUGUGAGGGCCAUUCACUAUGAUACUCCACAUAUCAUAGUCUAGUGCUUGAAUGAAUAUUUCAUCCGAGCUUUCCAAUAGGUGUAAUUAGAUCCAUUGAAAAGUGGAGGUCGGUUAGUGGACUGCCCCUCGGCUAGAGAAGUGCCGACUUGAGUUGCCAUAGAUCUUUGGCUCUUUGAUUGGUUAGAUCAAAGUAGAGCUAGAGCACCGGGCUCUGAUACCACUUGUUGCCCAGCUAUGCAACCCA
RNAcentral lists this long non-coding RNA (301 nucleotides) under Elaeis guineensis (African oil palm). RNAcentral describes it as "long non-coding RNA (EGUI_LNC029815)". Lineage: Eukaryota; Viridiplantae; Streptophyta; Magnoliopsida; Arecales; Arecaceae. The record is from RNAcentral.